AUUGAACGCUGGCGGCAGGCCUAACACAUGCAAGUCGAGCGGAUGAAGGGAGCUUGCUCCUGGAUUCAGCGGCGGACGGGUGAGUAAUGCCUAGGAAUCUGCCUGGUAGUGGGGGAUAACGUCCGGAAACGGGCGCUAAUACCGCAUACGUCCUGAGGGAGAAAGUCGGGGAUCUUCGGACCUCACGCUAUCAGAUGAGCCUAGGUCGGAUUAGCUAGUUGGUGGGGUAAAGGCCUACCAAGGCGACGAUCCGUAACUGGUCUGAGAGGAUGAUCAGUCACACUGGAACUGAGACACGGUCCAGACUCCUACGGGAGGCAGCAGUGGAGAAUAUUGGACAAUGGGCGAAAGCCUGAUCCAGCCAUGCCGCGUGUGUGAAGAAGGUCUUCGGAUUGUAAAGCACUUUAAGUUGGGAGGAAGGGCAGUAAGUUAAUACCUUGCUGUUUUGACGUUACCAACAGAAUAAGCACCGGCUAACUUCGUG
This 484-nucleotide ribosomal RNA is filed under the name uncultured bacterium. Its description in RNAcentral is "partial 16S ribosomal RNA". It matches the Rfam family "Bacterial small subunit ribosomal RNA", at positions 30 to 507 of the family's 1533-position model. The record is from RNAcentral.